GUGGAUUCCUCUUCCACGCAUCAAACUCAAGAAAAAUGGCCCUCAAAGUUUCUACUGCCAUUGUAUUUUGCUUCAUUGCGUUUCUCGUCCUCGCUCAUCCUAUAAUUGCUUCCCGACAAAUCGAGACUGUUCUUAGUGAGACUAUAGCCCCAUCGAGUGUUGUCAUCCGAAGCCCGUCUCCCGAGUACCCGUUGAGUUUCAUCGGAAGCCCGUCCCCUGGAGCCGGCCAACCUCAAUUCUUGGAAGAAUAUCGAGGAAGCCCGUCCCCAGGGGGUGGAAUACUCGCAUGACAUAAGUCUCCAUGGCGAGGCAAAGAUCAUGAUAUACAGUUCAUGAAAAGUUCAGUUCGAUCAUCCAAAUUAACACAAUUACAGCCUUUUUAUGAUCUGUUUGCAUUUGGUACGUACGUUAAUAAGCAUGCAUGCAUGGUUCUUGCACCAAUCCUUCAUACAGACAAUCAUAAUAUUAUUAAUAUCCCCAUUCUGUCUCUAAUCUAGCAUCGUUUGUUGUCAUCAAUAAGAGAUCAUUUCAUCAGAUCUGGAAUUUGUUUCUGUCCAAAAUCUCUAGUCUGGAUCGAUGUGAUCACCAAAGAUAUAUCUGGCAUUUGUUUGAUCUUUUCAUUGUUGUGUACAGCUACAAAUAUGGUUCCUUCGGCUACAAAUUUAGCAAA
Long non-coding RNA from Carya illinoinensis, 670 nucleotides. RefSeq lists it as uncharacterized. The transcript is spliced from 2 exons. The record is from RefSeq and is a predicted model, not a curated record. Lineage: Eukaryota; Viridiplantae; Streptophyta; Magnoliopsida; Fagales; Juglandaceae.